This 253-nucleotide ribosomal RNA is filed under the name uncultured bacterium. RNAcentral's name for it is "partial 16S ribosomal RNA". It matches the Rfam family "Bacterial small subunit ribosomal RNA", at positions 524 to 776 of the family's 1533-position model. The record is from RNAcentral.
UACGUAGGGUGCAAGCGUUGUCCGGAAUUAUUGGGCGUAAAGAGCUCGUAGGCGGUCUGUCGCGUCGGCUGUGAAAACACGGGGCUCAACUCCGUGCCUGCAGUCGAUACGGGCAGACUAGAGUUCGGUAGGGGAGACUGGAACUCCUGGUGUAGCGGUGAAAUGCGCAGAUAUCAGGAGGAACACCGGUGGCGAAGGCGGCCAUCUGGCCAAAUACUGACGCUGAGAUACGAAAGUGUGGGGAUCAAACAGG